UAAGUGAUUAGAGGUUCCAGU
This 21-nucleotide microRNA is filed under the name Brachypodium distachyon (stiff brome). Its description in RNAcentral is "bdi-miR9486b". The record is from miRBase by way of RNAcentral. Lineage: Eukaryota; Viridiplantae; Streptophyta; Magnoliopsida; Poales; Poaceae.